CAAAAUAGAGCAUGACAAAUGCGUAUCACUUACAAUGAUAAGAUAGACGUCAGUCUUAUUUUGA
This 64-nucleotide transfer RNA is filed under the name Platynereis cf. australis PA-2020. RNAcentral describes it as "tRNA-Val". The record is from RNAcentral. Lineage: Eukaryota; Metazoa; Annelida; Polychaeta; Phyllodocida; Nereididae.